Quercus lobata is the source of this 2647-nucleotide RNA transcript. It is a transcript of the gene named disease resistance protein SUMM2-like, with no coding region annotated. Lineage: Eukaryota; Viridiplantae; Streptophyta; Magnoliopsida; Fagales; Fagaceae. The record is from RefSeq and is a predicted model, not a curated record. The transcript has 2 exons.
CUUGUGGAUCAAGGAAGAUUUCCUGGAGGGCUCACAUUUGAAGCACAUGAGACCAAGGGAGAUGCAUUGUUGACAACAAAAUUGGUGGGUCAAACAUUUCAAACAAAUAUGGAUAAGAUUUGGACAUGCCUAAUGCAGGAUGAGGUCUUAAUCAUUGGCAUUUAUGGAAUGGGGGGAGUGGGGAAAACAACCUUGGUGACUCAUAUCCAUAACAAACUUAUAGAAAAUCCAAACACUUUCGAUCAUGUUUUUUGGGUCACAGUAUCACAAGAUUUUAGCAUUCAUAAAUUGCAGAAUGAUAUUGCAAAAAUACUGCAUCUAGACCUUUCAAACGUGGAUGAUGAAAAGAAACGGGCGGCAAAAUUGGCCCAGGCUUUGAUGAGAAGACAACAAUCUGUACUCAUUUUAGAUGAUGUAUGGAAUCAUUUUGUUUUAGAGAAGGUGGGAAUUCCUGUCAGAGUCAAUGGGUGCAAAUUGAUUUUAACCACGAGAUCAUUAGAUGUGUGUCGAAGGAUGGGUUGCCAAGUUAAAAUCAAAGUGGAGCCCCUUUCAAAGGAAGAAGCUUGGAGCUUAUUUUUGGAGAAAGUGGGGAACGAAAUUUCACUUUCUCCUGAAGUAAAAGAUAUUGCAAGGUCUAUUGCAAAAGAAUGUGCAGGUCUGCCACUUGCCAUAACUGUACUGGCUGGAAGCAUGAGAGGAGUGGAUGACAUCUGUGAAUGGAGGAAUGCAUUGGAGAUUUUGAAAGAAUCAAAACUGGGACAAGAUGACAUGGAAACUGAGGUUUUUCAAGUACUGAGAUUUAGCUAUUGGAGCUUGAAUGAUUCAAAAGUGCAACAUUGUUUUCUAUACUGCUCACUAUAUCCUGAAGAUUGUAAAAUUAAAAGAGAGGAGUUGAUAGAAAGGUUUAUUGAUGAAGGUUUCGUUGACAGAAUGAAGAGUAGGCAGGUAGAGUUUGACAGGGGUCACACUAUUCUGAAUAAACUUGAAAAUUCUUGCUUAUUGGAGGGCAUUAUAGACAAUUUCCCAAAUGAGAAAAAGUGCGUCAAGAUGCGUGAUUUGGUUAGGGACAUGGCACUUCAAAUUGUGAUUGUAAGUCCUCGAUUCAUGGUAGAAGCUGGCGUUGGGUUGGAGGAUAUACCAGAUGAAGAAAAAUGGACAAAGGAUCUUGAGAAGGUUUCUUUGAUGCACAACAAAAUAUCUGAUAUUCCUUCUAGUUUAUCACCAAGGUGUCCUAAACUUUCAACAUUGAUGCUUCAACAUAAUAGUCUAAGAAGAAUACCAGAUUCUUUUUUUGUGCAUAUGCAUGGUCUUGAGGUUCUUGAUCUAUCCUAUAAUGGCAUCGAAUAUUUGCCAAAUUCACUCUCCCACUUGGAGAAUCUUACAUCAUUGUUGCUUAGAGAAUGUGAUAAAAUAGAACAUGUCCCUUCGUUAGCAAAGCUUUCUGCUUUGAGGAGGUUGGAUCUUUGGCACACAGGAAUUAGUGAAGUACCUAAUGGUAUGGAAAUGUUGGUCAAUCUCAGAUACUUGGAUCUCUAUGCACCCAAUCUAAAGAUGUUGCCUGUUGGGACUUUCACUAAACUCUCUCAUCUCCAAUAUUUUGUUGUUUACCGGUCAUCUGAAACAUUGAAAGUGAAUGGAGAGGAGGUAGCACACUUGAAAAGAUUGGAAACUUUUAGCGGACAAUUCAGUGAACUCCAAAACUUUAAUGCAUAUGUCAAAUCCCUAAAAGUGGGAGGACCUAGCAAUUACCUACUUCAAAUGGGAUUAGAUGAUCCAGAUGUCACACCAAUUGAAUGCGACACCUUUGACAAACGUGUAAUCUUAAAAAGGUGCAUUUUAAUUACAAGUAGAGGUGGAGGAGAAUAUUCCCUUUUGCUCCCAGAAGAUAUUGAGUUCCUAUAUAUUCAAGAGUGCAAUGAUUUAAGAAGUUUAUGUGGUAUUUCAUCAUUGAAAAAUGCCAAUAACUUGAAGGCCUGUGUAAUUAAGAAGUGCAAUAGAGUAGAACAUGUGUUAUGUGACAGAGCUUUAUCACAAUCUCCACCAUCAGGCACCUUAGCCUGUCUCAAAGAAUUUAGAAUAUAUAACUAUCCAAAUAUAAAGAAGUUAUUCAUGCCUAGGUUGUUGAUGUGCCUCCAAAACUUGGAAGAGAUUCACGUAGAAGAUUGUCGCCAAAUUGAAGAAAUAGUGGCAGCAGCAUCUGAUGAUAAUGAAGUAGAAGAAAAUAAGGACAAAGGCCUUGGCACUACCAUAUUCACUCUCCCCAAAUUAAGGUGUUUGCAAUUGUGGGAUCUACCACAAUUGAAGAGCAUCUGCAAUGAUAAUGCAGUACUAGUUUUUGAUUCCCUCCCAAGAAAUAAUAGUACGCUAUUGCCGGAAGCUUAAGCGGAUCCCUCUCUCACUGCCCCUGCUUGAUGGUCAACCAUCCCCACAUCCCUCUCUUCAAAUAAUAAAAGCAUUUCCAGAACAAUGGUGGGAAUCACUGGAGUGGGACCAUCCCAAUGCCAAGAAUUUACUUCAACCCUUUUGUCAAUUCACACGAUAUGUGUAACAUCCCCAUGUUGAUAAUUUCUUUCUUUCCGUCACACUUUUAUUUGUAAUUUAAGAAAAAUUUCCCCUUAAGAAUUUUAGACCAACUUGGACAUGUGUU